CAUUUGUUGCCCUAACCUGUCAAAUGCUGUAACAACUAUUUAUGUGUGCGUUCAGAAAUUUAUUUUGUGCAAAAUAUCUCUAAAGUUCAAGUUAACAAAAGUUCAUAGGUUGUCUAUUAUUUUUCUUGAUAAGCUAUUAUCUACAUAUGUCUCGAUUGUUUUAUGUGGUUUCGUGCGAGUGCAUAUUCUAUAUUACUAUUAAUAACAAUGCCGCGUCUUAGAAGAUCUAAUCUUUCCCAGCGGACCCGUAAUGCAAUUAGGCAACGGAAUAUCAAUUAUCUGACAAGAACGAGAAAUCGCCCGAGAAGAGCGCCGCGUUGGUAUGGAGCAAACACAAGAGCUGACCCGGCGAAUUUCGUAACAGUCAAAGAAUGUCGUGUUACCUUUUAGCGGAACUAAUUUAGGCUUUGAUGAACGUAAUACAAUAAAACAAAACAAUAUUAAUAUAGCCGAAGUUCGCCGGGUCAGCUCUUGUCUUUGUUGUUGUUGGCAAUAUACAAACCUUUUUUUUCCACCGUUAAGAGAAUAAAAUAAGGGCUCAUAAA
Drosophila mojavensis is the source of this 545-nucleotide long non-coding RNA. RefSeq lists it as uncharacterized. The record is from RefSeq and is a predicted model, not a curated record. Lineage: Eukaryota; Metazoa; Arthropoda; Insecta; Diptera; Drosophilidae. The transcript is spliced from 2 exons.